Molecule: non-coding RNA, 114 nt
Organism: Acanthosepion pharaonis
Lineage: Eukaryota; Metazoa; Mollusca; Cephalopoda; Sepiida; Sepiidae
Source: the annotation of a GenBank genome assembly
UUACGGCCAUAAAACAUUGAAGCAUCAGUUCCCGUUCGAUCACUGAAGUUAAGUAAUGUUGAGCCUCGUCAGUAGCUAGAUGGGCGACCGCUUGGGAAUACCAAGUGUUGUAAG